GGGUUGUGAGGUUAAGCGACUAAGCGUACACGGUGGAUGCCCUGGCAGUCAGAGGCGAUGAAGGACGUGCUAAUCUGCGAUAAGCGCCGGUAAGGUGAUAUGAACCGUUAUAACCGGCGAUUUCCGAAUGGGGAAACCCAGUGUGAUUCGUCACACUAUCAUUAACUGAAUCCAUAGGUUAAUGAGGCGAACCGGGGGAACUGAAACAUCUAAGUACCCGAGGAAAAGAAAUCAACCGAGAUUCCCCCAGUAGCGGCGAGCGAACGGGGAGGAGCCCAGAGCCUGAAUCAGCAUGUGUGUUAGUGGAAGCGUCUGGAAAGGUGCGCGAUACAGGGUGACAGCCCCGUACACAAAAGCGCAUGUGCUGUGAGCUCGAUGAGUAGGGCGGGACACGUGGUAUCCUGUCUGAAUAUGGGGGACCAUCCUCCAAGGCUAAAUACUCCUGACUGACCGAUAGUGAACCAGUACCGUGAGGGAAAGGCGAAAAGAACCCCGGCGAGGGGAGUGAAAAAGAACCUGAAACCGUGUACGUACAAGCAGUGGGAGCACCCUUCGGGGUGUGACUGCGUACCUUUUGUAUAAUGGGUCAGCGACUUAUAUUCUGUAGCAAGGUUAACCGUAUAGGGGAGCCGGAGGGAAACCGAGUCUUAACCGGGCGUUAAGUUGCAGGGUAUAGACCCGAAACCCGGUGAUCUAGCCAUGGGCAGGUUGAAGGUUGGGUAACACUAACUGGAGGACCGAACCGACUAAUGUUGAAAAAUUAGCGGAUGACCUGUGGCUGGGGGUGAAAGGCCAAUCAAACCGGGAGAUAGCUGGUUCUCCCCGAAAGCUAUUUAGGUAGCGCCUCGUGAAUUCAUCUCCGGGGGUAGAGCACUGUUUCGGCUAGGGGGCCAUCCCGGCUUACCAACCCGAUGCAAACUGCGAAUACCGGAGAAUGUUAUCACGGGAGACACACGGCGGGUGCUAACGUCCGUCGUGAAGAGGGAAACAACCCAGACCGCCAGCUAAGGUCCCAAAGUCAUGGUUAAGUGGGAAACGAUGUGGGAAGGCCCAGACAGCCAGGAUGUUGGCUUAGAAGCAGCCAUCAUUUAAAGAAAGCGUAAUAGCUCACUGGUCGAGUCGGCCUGCGCGGAAGAUGUAACGGGGCUAAACCAUGCACCGAAGCUGCGGCAGCGACGCUGAUGCGUUGUUGGGUAGGGGAGCGUUCUGUAAGCCUGCGAAGGUGACCUGUGAGGGUUGCUGGAGGUAUCAGAAGUGCGAAUGCUGACAUAAGUAACGAUAAAGCGGGUGAAAAGCCCGCUCGCCGGAAGACCAAGGGUUCCUGUCCAACGUUAAUCGGGGCAGGGUGAGUCGACCCCUAAGGCGAGGCCGAAAGGCGUAGUCGAUGGGAAACGGGUUAAUAUUCCCGUACUUGGUGUUACUGCGAAGGGGGACGGAGAAGGCUAUGUUGGCCGGGCGACGGUUGUCCCGGUUUAAGCGUGUAGGUGUGUGUUCCAGGUAAAUCCGGUUCACUUUAACACUGAGGCGUGAUGACGAGGCACUACGGUGCUGAAGCAACAAAUGCCCUGCUUCCAGGAAAAGCCUCUAAGCAUCAGGUAACAUCAAAUCGUACCCCAAACCGACACAGGUGGUCAGGUAGAGAAUACCAAGGCGCUUGAGAGAACUCGGGUGAAGGAACUAGGCAAAAUGGUGCCGUAACUUCGGGAGAAGGCACGCUGACACGUAGGUGAAGUGAUUUACUCACGGAGCUGAAGUCAGUCGAAGAUACCAGCUGGCUGCAACUGUUUAUUAAAAACACAGCACUGUGCAAACACGAAAGUGGACGUAUACGGUGUGACGCCUGCCCGGUGCCGGAAGGUUAAUUGAUGGGGUCAGCGCAAGCGAAGCUCCUGAUCGAAGCCCCGGUAAACGGCGGCCGUAACUAUAACGGUCCUAAGGUAGCGAAAUUCCUUGUCGGGUAAGUUCCGACCUGCACGAAUGGCGUAAUGAUGGCCAGGCUGUCUCCACCCGAGACUCAGUGAAAUUGAACUCGCUGUGAAGAUGCAGUGUACCCGCGGCAAGACGGAAAGACCCCGUGAACCUUUACUAUAGCUUGACACUGAACAUUGAGCCUUGAUGUGUAGGAUAGGUGGGAGGCUUUGAAGUGUGGACGCCAGUCUGCAUGGAGCCGACCUUGAAAUACCACCCUUUAAUGUUUGAUGUUCUAACGUGGACCCGUAAUCCGGGUUGCGGACAGUGUCUGGUGGGUAGUUUGACUGGGGCGGUCUCCUCCUAAAGAGUAACGGAGGAGCACGAAGGUUGGCUAAUCCUGGUCGGACAUCAGGAGGUUAGUGCAAUGGCAUAAGCCAGCUUGACUGCGAGCGUGACGGCGCGAGCAGGUGCGAAAGCAGGUCAUAGUGAUCCGGUGGUUCUGAAUGGAAGGGCCAUCGCUCAACGGAUAAAAGGUACUCCGGGGAUAACAGGCUGAUACCGCCCAAGAGUUCAUAUCGACGGCGGUGUUUGGCACCUCGAUGUCGGCUCAUCACAUCCUGGGGCUGAAGUAGGUCCCAAGGGUAUGGCUGUUCGCCAUUUAAAGUGGUACGCGAGCUGGGUUUAGAACGUCGUGAGACAGUUCGGUCCCUAUCUGCCGUGGGCGCUGGAGAACUGAGGGGGGCUGCUCCUAGUACGAGAGGACCGGAGUGGACGCAUCACUGGUGUUCGGGUUGUCAUGCCAAUGGCACUGCCCGGUAGCUAAAUGCGGAAGAGAUAAGUGCUGAAAGCAUCUAAGCACGAAACUUGCCCCGAGAUGAGUUCUCCCUGAGACUUAGAGUCUCCUGAAGGAACGUUGAAGACGACGACGUUGAUAGGCCGGGUGUGUAAGCGCAGCGAUGCGUUGAGCUAACCGGUACUAAUGAACCGUGAGGCUUAACCUUACAACGCCGAAG
This 2924-nucleotide ribosomal RNA is filed under the name Salmonella enterica subsp. enterica. Its description in RNAcentral is "23S ribosomal RNA". It matches the Rfam family "Bacterial large subunit ribosomal RNA". The record is from RNAcentral. Lineage: Bacteria; Pseudomonadati; Pseudomonadota; Gammaproteobacteria; Enterobacterales; Enterobacteriaceae.